Molecule: long non-coding RNA, 815 nt
Organism: Lates calcarifer (barramundi perch)
Lineage: Eukaryota; Metazoa; Chordata; Actinopteri; Centropomidae
Exons: 2
Source: RefSeq, a predicted model, not a curated record
GAAAGCAAAAUCAAUACAACAACGUCACAACAAAAUCCUGACAGACAGCUCACCCACCGCACCGAACUAUCUAACAAGUGUUAUUAUGUACAACCUAUCAAACAACACUUCAGGCAAGAGUUAGAUGACUCAACUAUAUCUACGUCUGAUGAUCCUGAGGUUUACAUGUUAAAACCUCCCAACGGUUGGAUAUAUUUACGCAGCAUCCCAGUUAAUACACUUGUUUUCUCUUUCUCUAUUGUAACAGCGGAGGCGCUAGUCGAGUGAGAAAACUCUAACAAUAACAGUUACUCGGUUUCGUUUUCUUUAUCAUUUAGACUCCUUAUACAGAGAGGUCACGCGUUCACCUUCAUUUUCCUGAACACAAAUACAAACUUAAACAGGACAAAUGACACAACAGCAUUAGAAGCUAACCAGCGUUUUUUGCUAGGUUAACUAAGCGAACAUUAACCCAGCGUUAUAUCAUGGCAGGCUAACGCUAGCUAGCAUGGCUCAAUGGACUCUCGGCAGACUGGCGUUGGUCAAAACUUAACAGCAACCUGCUUUAUAAUAAGACAGCAGGAAGGGACCUUCCCGUAGCCGUGACCGUGUCAGCUAACCAACUGUACAACAGCCUUAUUGUUGGUAACGGAGUGCGGCCAGGCCAUUGUCAAAGGGACUGCCCAUGUGUCCACCGCACCUCUGUGAAAAAGCGUGGAAAAGACGUACCUGCAAAUUCCAGCCGGCGGACUCCAGGAAAAAACGGGCCCUCUCCUCAUCCACAUCAGUAACAGCGACGAACUCCCUCACAGACUCCUCUUGGCUCGCCAUUUUGA